Molecule: long non-coding RNA, 2700 nt
Organism: Ctenopharyngodon idella (grass carp)
Lineage: Eukaryota; Metazoa; Chordata; Actinopteri; Cypriniformes; Xenocyprididae
Exons: 2
Source: RefSeq, a predicted model, not a curated record
UCCAUUAAAAUUAUUAUAUAGUUAUAAAUAUAUAAUAUUUUAUAAACUAAUCAUUUAAUAAUAAUGAAUUUUAAUACAAUAUUUAUUUAUAUUCAUUUUAUAAAAUGAAACAAUGUUAAAUAAAUGUACAUUAAAUUAUUACUUUUUAAAUAUAAUUUUUUUUUUUUUUUCAUUUUGUUUUUGGGGUGAAAUAUGAAAUGGGUAUUUCAGUUUUCGUGAGACUUACAUCUAUAUUAAUUAUUAUUAAAAUUAUAUAAUUUCUUUGUCACGCCACUAAUCCUUGAUAGGCGUAUACUUAAGUCUUCAUAAUUUGUUUUUGUUCUCUGCAGUGGGUCACAUUCCAUCAAAUGAAUCAGACUCUGGUUUCAUAAAUUGGGCUGUAAUUGUCUUAACCUACUGCAUAUUAUUAGAAUGCGGCAUAAAACUCCAAGCAGCAUUAUGCAAUGACCGUGUGUCUCGGUUACCUCAUUUUUUAUGACUAGUAGGAUAAUACACGCUUAGUCCACUUAUGUCAUGUCUUCUUUUAUGUAAGCAAAUGGUAGCCAUCCAUCCCACACUAAUGUCCAGGUGUGUUAUGGGAAGGCCCUGCUAAUCCCAAAAAGUGCCAACAAAGCAGUGCCCUAGAGAACAGAACGCUUUGUGUGUGUGUGUGUGUGUGUGUGUGUGUGUGUGUCUCUCCUUGUCUAUAAUCCUCUCCAGGUGCUCUCGACCAUUCUCAACUCUUCUAAUCACUCAGCUUGUCUUCGGCUGAGGGGGUGGGUACCUGCCAACUGCUGUUUUUGUUUUAGAUUAGCCGCUUCCCUAAGUCCCGACCCUCGGCCGGAUGUCCCAAACCCAUCUGUCACCAAGCCCUCUCCCAGAACGGAGGCUGAGAGGAUAGAGAGGAGGAGGACAAGAAAAGAGGAUGAGCUAGUGAAAGAAGCUAGGAAGUAAUUGCAUCUGGUGUAAACCCUCUCAGCGCUAGAGUCAGUUUUUGCUGUUGCAGGGACUGCAUGCUAAUGUCCUGCUAGCUGUUCACCAUGUUAUGAUUUGGUUAAUUGAUAAAGCAAAGCCAAAUGAUUGCAUUCAUAUAGUGGUAAAUGUCAGAAAUGAUUUGUAAAAAAGUGUUUGCGAAGUAUACAGCCCAUAGAUAUCAAGAUGAUGCUAAUUGCUAAGUCCAUUAGCAUCAACUUGAUGUGGAUUUCACAGGGUAUUCCUCCAUCUUAAAUCCGAAGGGAGCAAACAUGUUCUUUGUUUGACUUUGCAGGAUGUUCCUGCAUUUUGUCAAGUGAAGUGAACUUCAACAGAGAUCCGUGCUCAGGGAGAGACCCUGUCAAUUGAAAUGCAACUAAUGUUUAUAUGUUCAGUUAGCAUCAAAAUUUCAUUGUUAUCUUAGCCCAAUUGAGUAACUUCGUUUAGCUACAUUAGUGACUUUGUUUAGUGACGUUUUUCAGUAGUUCAACAGCUAAUGUUUUUGUCAACCUCAUUGUUGUUAUUAAAUGUUAAAUUAUAUUGUACGAUUGUUACACAUUUAAGAAGAUAUUUUCCCCAUAGCUAGUUUGCUAGCUAGCUAUUUUUUGUCAAUAAUUUGUAGUGUAGCUAUACUUUUUCACUCAAAUAGCUUCACUAAAACUACUUACAAUCAUGAUUAGCUUGUAGUUUGACAAGCUACAAAUUCAUAUUAGCAUCCAGCAUUGUUGUUGACAUACAUAUUGUACUAACCCACUAGAAAAAUCUUUGAAGUGGGAGACUUAGACUCUCAGUUGUGUGCUUUUCUUAUAGACAGUUAGGCUUUCACUAGCAUAUUUGCCUACAAUAAUCUUUUGUGGAAGUGGUUGUCACAUUUGGUCAGGUGCCUGUGUUUCCGCCAAAGGUAGUUUUGUGUUAAGCAGGUUAAGAAGUAUUUCCUAAUCUUUUAAGUUGCUGUUGCGCACGAGACCAUGCUGGCAGCCCGCCUGGAUGAUGGGAUUGACAGCGUUUUGUACGCAAACCUUCAUCCAGCAAGCUGGCAGGAGUACGUCACGCUGGCGUGGGCAGUAUGCUGUCUGUCUCAGAUCUGUCUCGCCACUGCGAUCUCACAGUCAGAUUAACUGGAAGGAUGUUUAUUUCUGUUUAUAUGGUUGUGAAAAUGAGACGGUGGAAAUGAUUCGGUUGCAUCUGCUCUUUUCCUCUUGUUAAACCUACAUCUGCCAGACCAUGACAACUUUAACACACUCACAUGCUGACAGUGAUUCUGACGAGCAGCACGGACAUCCGCAGCUGGUGGGGGCUCACCCGACCUCAGACUCUGUAAUUAUCGCAGCUUCUGUUUUCCUUCAAGUGUGCUGACUGUUUGCUAGCAUCCAGAAGCUCUCGAAUGAACGCUGUACAGCUAGGCUUUACAAAUCUAGCAGAUGGAUUAUAGUUCAGAAGGCCCCUCAAUUUUCGCAAAUGUCCAAAUAAUGAGAAAUUGCAUUGCAAAUAUGAGUGAAAUAGUCACAGCUGUGAGAUAUAAUUAAAUUAUUUGCACUACAGGCAAAAACAUUGUUUUUUCAUGCACUGAAUAUCUUCUGCUGAACACAAAAGAAGAUAUUUUGAAGCCAUUGACUUCUCUGUAGUAUUUAUUUUUUCAUACUACUUGAGGGUGAGACAGGAUUUUCAUUUUUGAGUGAAUUAUCCCUUUAAUGUAAUCAAUCAACCUUGGACGUUUGGUGAUAUUUGUUUCUAAAUCUUUUUACCCUA